AGAGUUUGAUCCUGGCUCAGAACGAACGCUGGCGGCGUGGAUAAGACAUGCAAGUCGAGCGCUGAUUUCGGGGUAGCAAUAUUCCGGAGUCGGAGCGGCGCAAGGGUGCGUAACACGUGGGUAAUCUGCCAUGAAGUCUGGAAUAACUUGCUGAAAGGCGAGCUAAUACCGGAUGUGACCAUCGGGAGGCAUCUCCUGAUGGUUAAAGCUGGGGACCGUAAGGCCUGGCGCUUCCUGAUGAACCCGCGGCCUAUCAGCUAGUUGGUGAGGUAACGGCCCACCAAGGCUAAGACGGGUAGCUGGUCUGAGAGGACGACCAGCCACACUGGAACUGAGACACGGUCCAGACACCUACGGGUGGCAGCAGUCGAGAAUUUUUCACAAUGGGCGCAAGCCUGAUGGAGCGACGCCCGUGGGGGAUGAAUGGCUUCGGCCCGUAAACCCCUGUCAUUCGCGAUCAAACCUCGUUAUUUAAAAGAUGACGAGCUGAUAGUAGCGGAAGAGGAAGGGACGGCUAACUCUGUGCCAGCAGCCGCGGUAAUACAGAGGUCCCGAGCGUUGUUCGGAUUCACUGGGCGUAAAGGGUGCGUAGGUGGUGAGGUAAGUCGGAUGUGAAAGCUCGGAGCUCAACUCCGAAAUGGCAUUGGAAACUACCUUGCUCGAGGGUUGGAGGGGGGACUGGAAUUCUCGGUGUAGCAGUGAAAUGCGUAGAUAUCGAGAGGAACACCAGUGGCGAAGGCGAGUCCCUGGACAACUCCUGACACUGAGGCACGAAAGCUAGGGGAGCAAACAGGAUUAGAUACCCUAGUAGUCC
This 814-nucleotide ribosomal RNA is filed under the name uncultured bacterium. RNAcentral's name for it is "bacterial SSU rRNA". It matches the Rfam family "Bacterial small subunit ribosomal RNA", at positions 8 to 796 of the family's 1533-position model. The record is from RNAcentral.